This 41301-nucleotide long non-coding RNA is filed under the name Lathyrus oleraceus (garden pea). RNAcentral describes it as "Pisum sativum (pea) long non-coding RNA (PSAT_LNC038811)". The record is from RNAcentral. Lineage: Eukaryota; Viridiplantae; Streptophyta; Magnoliopsida; Fabales; Fabaceae.
CUAUGGAUGGUGAAGAUUUUCCGUCUUCUGUGAAUCCAGAUGUAGUCAAAAAAUAUUUCGCAUAAACUGACCCGCUGGACAAAGAAAGAAAGUCCAGGCAAAAAAGGGCAUCCCGGCGAACCAAGAGAAAAAGUAAAGAAAAAGGUUCGGGUAAAAGUUAGGGAUAAAGAAUAAAAAUAAUAUGUACACCAGGUAAGUCGAAAACCUGCAAAGGCGGCUUAGGCAAAAAUGGGUAUCCAGGUGGAUUGAAAACCUGAAAAGGCGGUCCAGGCAAAAGAGGGAUUAAAGCGAAGACUAUAGUCUGAGUUAUCUGUACUUCAUCGUAUUUCAGUGUCUACCAUCUUGAAGGAUAUGAUCGGUCCAAUCACUCUUCUCAGAAAGCAAAGAAUUUGGGGGAAAGUGAAGAUCUAUGAGUCAUAACAGAAUUGGGAAAUAGUGGAAUGCCGUGUUCACAUUGCCAAUAGGAUAGUUUAUUUUCUCUUUUGGCGCAAUUACCUCUUCCUAGGAAUUGCUUCCUGAUGUAUUUGCCUUUAUAGGCCAUUUUUAAAAGCCGUUAUUCAGUCAAAUUGCUCUCUUGUUUUUUUAUUCUACUGUUUUGUUUGCAAAAAACGUUCGAAUUUUUGAUAAACAUUGCAUCUAAAAAGUAUGAAGGCUAGACAAUGACGUGCGGAAAGAUAAAACAUCUGAAAAUCAUUUUGAAUGUUGAGUACACUUGAGUAUAUUUUGUCCAUACGAUCCCCUGAGGCAUGUAUGUCUUGCCGUUUUGCAGGUUACUAUCUUUGAUUGAUGGCUAAAGCAGAUGAGCCAAAGUUUGUUCGAAGGAAGACCCUGUUGUUUCAACAUUGUCCAGGCGUGUAAGAAGUUGGGUCGUCUAAGUCAAGUUCAGAUUUUGUUUCCCAGCAUGGUCAAGAGGUUGGUGUUUUCCCAACAAUUGACUCCCCAGUUGAGUUGGUUUCUCUACCGUUCCGAGAAUGUCAGAUUAGUAAGUAUCCUCAGCAGAAUUAUUAUAUAUCCCCAGUGGAGUUGACAGCGCCAGACUGUAUCUUCCCAGCAGAAGCGACUGCUCCUCAGAGUCCGAUGCCAGAUCGAUGAUCUCAACACCAGAUCCAUGGUCUCUCUCCUUGAAGCAGAAUCUCGGUACCGUAUCGGUGUUUGCUUCCCCUGCUAAGUCGUCUCUCUCGCAGAUUAUGGUUGCCAGAACCACUAUCGCUUUUUGCAACAACAAGCUUCCAGUGCCAUUCUCUCCCCAGUCAGGGUCUCGGUAUUGUGUUAUUGCCUGAACACCACGUGGCCGAUCAUUUCCCCACAUGGUUCAUUGUGUUGUGUAUCUCCAACAGCAUUUCCUGGGUCAAGAAGAGUGUAAUCAUUUCCCCGACAAGAGUUCUUGCCUUGGCUUGGCAUUCUCCCCAGCAGAGUUCCUUGCCUCGGCUUGGCGUUAUUUCUAACCUAGCAUUUCGCAUCCCUGCAUGUAGAAUCAUAUUGCAUUGCAUCCUCUCAGUAUGGAGCAUUACGCCAUAGAAAACUCAAACAUAUGCAUACAUGCAUUAAAACCAGAUUGGAUCUUAUCCCCAGCAGAGACGGAUCAUUUUCCAACAUCGGUAUAGCACAUUUGCAGCAGUUGCCCUUGGCAACAUUCGAAAUCAAUAAUCCCAGCGAGAUUUAUUUUCUCACCAGUCCGUGAAAGGAAAGCUUGAUUCUCUUCCGAGUUAGUCCCCGACAAGUGUCUGCCUUAUUUUGACAUAUGUAGAUGUCAUCCUUGCGAUACCGGUAAGUGUUGCGUUGAUCCCUGUAAAUGUCUAUGCUUUUCUUUGAUGUCGGUAACAUCAUCUUUCGAUGUCGGUAAACGUCGAAUUCCAAUCGUUGGCAAUCAGUAAAUGGCAUGUAUCUCAAGGUGUCUACAAAAAAAUCGUUCUAUCAACACCCGUGUGUGUCCUUUCCUUUCUUUGGUGUCAGUAAACAUCAUUGUUCGAUAUCGGUAAACAUCAGCCACUUGUUAACCAUCGGCAAAUGGUUUUGUCGUUUAAGAUUCCCCAGCAGAUUCGCUAUCCGUAAAUAUCGAAUACUCCGGGUUCGCCAUCGCUAAACGGUUUCGUUUCAUAAGCGUAUUCUUUCUUUGGUAUCGGUAAACAUCAUUGUUCGAUGUCGGUAAGCAUCGAGUUCCUCCCAGUCAUCGGUAAAUGUCUGGUCUUGUUUCACUUGUAAAUACUUUUGUUCGAUGUCGGUAAACAUCGAGUUCCUCCCAGUCAUCGGUAAAUGUCUGGUCUUGUUUCACUUAUAAACAUCCUUGUUCGAUGUCGGUAAACAUCGAGUUCCUUCCCACUCAUCGGUAAAUGUCUGGUCUGGUUUCACUUGCUCCUCCCCAGUGAAGCCGCCAUCGGUAAAUGACCUCGCUUUCUUUGAUAUUGAUAAAUAUCAAAUUUUGUUUUGAAGCCGCCAUCGGUAAAUGACCUCGCUUUCUUUGAUAUCGGUAAAGAUCAAAUCGGUUUUGAAGCAGCCACCGGUAAAUGGCCUUGCUUUCUUUGACAUCAGUAAAUGUCUAAUUUGUUUUGAAGCCGCCACCGGUAAAUGGCCUUGCUUUCUUUGACAUCAGUAAAUGUCUAAUUUGUUUUGAAGCCGCCAUCGGUAAAUGGCCUCGCUUUCCUUGCUUCGUCACCUACAGAGUGCAGGUUCACAGUUGAUUGAAUAGGGGCAGCUGUAGCACCUCAAAUUUGCCCCCCCUCAUUCAUGCAUUCAUUUUUAGGUCAUUUAACAUUUCAUAUUGCAUUGCAUCAUGUCAAUCAGAAUCAGAUCCUAGAAGCUUGAACAUCAUCCAAGACACUUUGUGGGUUCUAUCUGGGUGAUCAGUCAACACAAGGGGAUGGCUUGAGAUACUUCCAACAUGUUCAAAUGGGGUCUAUUCAUCAUUCAAAAUGCCAAUCUUGAAGGAGCAAAAAGCAGAGCCUGAGCUAUCAUGCUCGCUAGGCGAGCAGCAUGGUUCACUAGGCGAACUACACUGUCAUGCUCGCUAGGCAAGCAGAUCCUUCGCUAGGCGAAGAGCACGCGUUUCAGAAUGUAACAUAAUUUUUUUGGAUUUAGGCCUCUCUCAUUUGAGCCCACAAGUCCACAAAAAUCAGGUUAUAAAUUCAGAGUUUCAGUGAAACAAAAGGUAUUCUAUUCCUAUUACCCUGGCAGAAGAGAGAAGCUACAGAAUUCAGGGCAACCUCCGGACAGCUCUGAAAAGUUCACUCUGACUCACACACUUCUUUGCCUCCAUCUCCCACAAACCCUAACAUUGCUUUAUAAACCCAGCCGUGCCAUUCGAGUUUAAUCGAUCUCUCCAAUCAGGUUUACCCUUAUUCCCAUUACCUUUAUACUUCCAAUUUGAAUGCUCUGAAUGUAUGACGUAUGAUGGAUGUUUUUGCCCACGGGUUUAGAUAUGUAUGAAUGUAUAAACCAUGCCUUGAAUGCUUAACCGUUUAAUUUCUGAAGUGUGUGCCAUAGGGUUUGAGGUUUCCGAAACCACACUGUUAUCCAUGAAGAAUCCAAAACCCGCAGGCGUUCGCUAGCACCAUCGCUAGGUGAGCAUGUAGCGAAGCUUCGCCAAGCCUUCGCUAGGCGAAGCAGUAGCGAGCAUGACAGUAACUGAUUUUUUUUGUUCGUUCUAAUCUGACUUUUAUGUUUGUAAUGCCAUUGUUUUCUCCUGACCCCAUCUUGUUACUUUAACCUUUUUUUGUUGAGUUUUUGUGAGGGCUCACAUGACUCUUGCAGGGAUAGUUUGUUUAGUGUUCCACUUUAUUUGUGGAAUACCAUUUGGGAGAUUCUAUUCCGAUUACCUGUACUGACUUAUUGCCUUGUUGGCACGUUUACUUUAUGCAUGUUUGUUUUGCAGGGCGUGAUCGUAUCCCUAUAGGUAGCGCGGUUCCUUCGUCUAGGACUGCCCUUUUUGCCUUUUUGCAUCCCUAAAACCCAAAGCAACUCAUUGAUUUUUCUUCUCCUAAGAACACGUUUACUCCUUCUACUAAAGGCGAGUAAGUCUCCAAAGGUCGAGCAUCCAGUAGAUUGCGUAGUAACGUCGUUCGUCCCAAAACCACCCCGUAGUUAGCCGAACUACGUUUUGCUCUGAUUCUCAUUCCAGAUGAGAUACGUAGGCAUAAGACGCGAUGUCUUACCGAGCACACUUCCCCUUAACCCAUAGAUGGCCAAACUACGAAGACUCUGAUUCUCAUAUUCAGAUGAGAUACGUAUGCAGUGGAUGCGACAUCCGUGCGAGUCAUUUUCCUUUGACCCCUCUUUUAGUAAAUAGUACAUUAGAUAAACCCGCACCCUUUAGACAAGAACUACAAAAGUGGAUCCCGUAGAGUACUACGAAUGCGUAGGGGUGCUAAUACCUUCCCUUCGCAUAAUCGGCUCAUGAACCCAAGAUUUGGUUACGAGACCUUGUCUUUUCCUUUCCUUUUUCCAGGUUUACUUCGAGCAUUUCCUUUCCCUCAUUUGGGAUAAAUAACGCAUGGUAGCGACUCUUCUGUCAUUUUCUUUUCGCCGGUUGUUUUUUCGCAUAUUAUGAUUUUUCAGGUUGCGACAUCGGGAAGUCAAAUUCUUUCCUAAACCACAAGUCCAAUCCCUAUUGGCAACUACCAAAAAACCAAAGUCCACUUUGUUGGCAUUAUCACCAAUUCAAAUCCAAACCAUAUUGGUACCCAAAAGAUCUCACCUUCAAAAAAUGGGGACCAAUAAAAAAAACUAAUCAGCAGCUUGCAUUCCCAAAUGCAUUGCAUACAACAUACAUGCAUAACUUUCCUGCCGAGGUAGGAAGUUCCAUAUCAAAAAGCUCUCUCACCGAGACGAAAAUAUUGCAUCAGAUUAACAUGCAUACAAAGUCAAGCAUCUCCCAUCAACCCUUUGACCGUGACCCUUUUCCAUCAACUCUUUGAUGACGACAAUCCUUUCUAUCAACUCUUUGAUGAUGACAAUCCUUCCAUCAACUCUUUGAUGAUGACAAUCCUUCUCAUUCAACUCUUUGAUGACGACAAUCCAUUCUCAUCAACUCUUUUAUGACAGCAAUCCUUCCAUCAACUCUUUGAUGAUGACAAUCCUUUCAUUAACUCUUUGAUGAUGACAAUCCUUCCAUCAACUCUUUGAUGAUGACAAUCCUUCCAUCAACUCUUUUAUGAUGACAAUCCUUAUCCAUCAACUCUUUGAUGACGACAAUCCAUUCUCAUCAACUCUUUGAUGACAACAAUCCUCCCAUAAACUCUUUGAUGAUGACAAUCCUUCUCCAUCAACUCUUUGAUGAUGACAAUCCUUCUCCAUCAAAUCUUUGAUGACGACAAUCCAUUAUCAUCAACUCUUUGAUGACAACAAUCCUCCCAUCAACUCUUUGAUAAUGACAAUCCUUCUCCAUCAACUCUUUGAUGACGACAAUCCAUUCUCAUUAACUCUUUGAUGACGACAAUCCAUUCCCAUCAACUCUUUGAUGACGAAAAUACUUCCAUCAGCCCUUUGAUGACGAAAAUCCUUCCAUCAACUCUUUCAUGACGACAAUCCUUUCUCAUCAACUCUUUGAUGAUGCUAAUACAUUUCUCAUCAACUCCUUGAUGACGACCAUCCUUUCCCAUCAACUCUUUGAUGACGACAAUCCUUUCAUCAACCCUUUGAUAACGCUGUCAACCCUUUGACGAUGAUAAUUGUUAUCCUAUAAACUCUUUGAUGACGGCCUUCCUUUUUAGUCAACUCUUUGACGAGGACAAUUGUUAUUUCAUAAACCUCUAAAGUCAGAUCCCCACAAAAAUCCUUAUCGAAAGCCAAACCACACCUGGUGUACCCAAAUGCACCCAGACCAUUGCAUAAACUGCAUCCUCAUUUUGCAUUAACAAUCAUGCAUUACAUCGCAUCAGAAAAGGCGUGGCAUAUUCCAUUGAGGUGGAGCAUUACGCCAUGCAAGAUAAACCUGCAUAACUGCAUAAAAGUCUUUCUCGAAAGCAUAAAAAAGGAAAAGAAAAAUCAUUAGUUGAUACGUUCUGCCUCCCCAAUGAGAACAUCAUUAAGAAUCUGUGGAUUGGUAUUCCUUGUAGGUGUUCCCAAAAUAUUUCUCCUUUGUAUUGCCUUUUGCAAGUACCCUUUUGAGUCUUUCGUCAGUCACUUACCUUUGUAAGUCCUUUCGGCCUCGUGCCAAUCCUCCUUGCCUUUUGCUUGGAGAAGAUGAUUGAGAUAACUUACCUUUCAUGAGUUUAUUUCGUUGCUUUAUGCAUGAAAUCACGUCUCCCCCUCGAUGCCUUUCGCACAAGUAGGGUACCUUUGUCAGAUCUUUGCUUCCCGCUUGUUUAAACGCUUGAUGUAGGUUUGGUGAGUCCCGGGGUUUGGGUAGCCAUUGUUUGAGAACUUCAUCCCCGUCAUUGUGCCUGAGGGACAACAUGAGGUUUUCAUACCUAUUCGCAAAGUUCCCCACCUGUCAGAGUGUGCCAAAGCCCAGAUUCAUCUGGAAGAUCCCCUUAAGUUUAGGUUUUACCUAGCAUGUCUUGUCCCACUCUUUUUUUGCCUCGUGCAAAUAUUUGUGACCUUUCGUCCUUUACUUACCUUUCGUAAGUAUUCCCUUCCGUUUGCAUGGGAGGUAUUCCGCUUCUAGCUUACCUUUCGUGGGUCCCCUUUAUGCCUUUAGCAUAAAGUUUGUUACCCCCAACUGCUUACCUUUUGUAAGUCUCCCCAGCCUUUUGCUCGAACCUUUCUAUUCUUGAACCUGCUUACCUUUUGUAAGUGACCAUUGCCUUUCAUCUGGAAAUCUUCUCCUGCAAAGAAGUCGUUACUAUCUUUUGUAUGAGAAAGACCUUUCAUUUUUCUUCUUAACCCUCUGUUAAGAAGUUUCUCACUACCUUUCGUAUGAGAAAUCCCUCCCAGUUUUCUUCUUAACCCUCCGUUAAGAAAUUUCUCAUUACCUUUCGUAUGAGAAAUCAUUUCACCUUUCUUCUUAACCUUUUGUUUGGAAGACCCUUUCUCUUGUGCAAAGGAGUCGUUGCUAACCCUUUUUAAGGAGUUCUCAUCACCUUUUGUGAGAGAAAUCUGUUUAUCCUUGUUUUCUUAACUAAAUUUGAAGAUUCUGUUUCUCUUGCUAAGGAGUCGUUGCUGCCGGUUGCAAGAGAAGGUCGCUUCUCAGUUGAGUUACUUACCUUUAGCAAGAUGCCUUUUGCAAGGGAUCUCAUUCCAAUUCUUUCUACUCGGGUAUUUGCCUUUCGCAGACACCUCAUUUACCUUCGCGGAAUCCUGCGGGAACUCGAUUACCAAUCUCAAGCCAAAAAUCGUUAGUGGAGGCAGAACAAAGAAUGAAAAAAUAGAGAAAGACACAACAAAAGAGAUCAACAUACAUGACAUAUAGCAUAUAGCAUGCAUGACUUCAUGGAGCAUCUCACGGAAAAGCUUUCUGUGAACACUUUGACCUACAUCUCAUUCAUUUCAUUCAUUCCCUGCGGGCAAAUUUCUUGGCUAUUUUUAGUAUUUAAUCCUCUCCUACCAUGAAUGUUUGAAAGCAGCUGCUAUUCAUACCUUCAGGUCCGAAAAGAUUAAAUAUGGACAUAUGUCAUACCCCAAAAUUUGCCCUCAUUUUCGCUUUUUCGUCUGACUAUGACUUGAUACCCAUUCUAACCUCAUUCAUACUCAUUCAUGUGCAUUCAUUCAUUCAUUCAUCUGCUGACAGGCGUCACGGAUUCGGGGUUUGUGGUUGAUAAAAUCGGAGUUGGAUUGAAGUUUAUGGCAUUGCACGUCAUAGGGAUUGAAUCCUGAAUCAUGACUUUGAUAGUCAGAGAUCUUGUGCAUGACCUGUUGUUUGGUGGACAUUCACCUGGUUUGAUUCAUGGCAUUGGCAUGAGUCGUUGGUUCUGGAUAUUGUGAUCCAUAUUCGUUUGUCCAUGAGAAAGUACGCAUUUUUGCAACUGUUGACUUUUAGGUCAACCAGUUGACCAAAGUCAACCAUCAAUCUCCGAAUCUUUAAUCAUGUAACUCGUAAUCGUCCUGUCAUUUUCGAAUUAAUUAUAGAAGUUUUAAGUGAAUUUUUAAGGAUUAAAUUUUAAUUUGAAGCUUGGUCCUUGAGAUUCAAAUUGACUUUUGUGAAUUAGUUUUAUUUCAUAACCAUUUCAUCAUUUUCUUUAGCCGAUUAAAUUUUAGAAAAUAUUGUUUUUAAGUACAAAUUAAUCGUGACGUUUCUUUUAUUAUUAGAAUUUCUUGAUUUUUAUUAAUGGGCCAAAUCUAUUUUUUAAACCCACAUUUAAACCAAAUUAACCAAGCUCAAAUAUUCAAAUCCAAUUUCAUUUUAAUAUCCAUUUGACCAUUUUUUUAACAACUAUCCAUUUAAUGUCCAUAAUUCAAUAUCCAAUUCCUAUAUCCAUAUCCAAUUAAAUCCAAUUCCUAUAUCCAUAUCCAAUUAAAUCCAAUUCAAAACAAAUAUUCAAAUCCAUUUUAAAUCCAUUUUUAAGCCACUUGGCAAUUAACCAAAUCCAUUACAUUAGUAACCAUCAUCCAAAUAUCAUCCAAAUAUCCACUGUACAUUUAUUAGCAUGCAUUAAGAAAAAUAAAAGUUGCAGCCAGAAGCUGUUGUAGCUCAUUCACAAGCCAGCAACCUAAAACGGCUAAAAGUUAAGCAACCGCCAAAAUUAGCGCCAGCUGUACACAAAACAAUUGUGCAUAAAUCCAAAACAAAAUCCUGCACAAUUUAACCAACCUCGCAACACCAAUAACAACAAAGUUAACUUCUAACCAACUCAAAAUACAAACCAAUUUAAAACCAAAAUCCUCUUGGCCUCGUUUGAAUUUCACCAACUGAAUUUGAAUCACUAUAACUAAUCCUAACAGAAUUUCAUCUUGAAUUCCUAACAGAAUUUUGCUAACAGAAUAAAAACCUUAUAAAUACCCUGCAAGUCUCAGGUUCAGGGCUCCAUUUUUGUUCCAGUUUUUCAUUUCCAUUUCCUCACAAUAUGAUCUGGUAUCCUAACUAUCUGGAGUUUUCACCCUCCAUCACCUUCAACCGUUUCAUUCACAAAACUCCUUCACCAUCUCUUCUUCACGCCGCCGAACCACCACGCUUCAACUUGCACUGCUUCAAUCACUUCAACCUCCAAGACGAACCACAAGCGGACGACAACGCACAACAGAAACUCACCCGAAUUCGGUUGCAAAAAUCCCAAUCUUCCAUUCCAUCGCAACUCUACCGAUCGCACCAUAACUCAACCGCUUCAACCACCGCGAUUCCCUCCAACCACGACCAUACGCGACCGUUAACAGAGUCGACAAACUCACCACAAUCAUCUACAUAAUAACAACGUGAUCCACAGAAGAUUGAAGGAUAUAUUUAGGACAAUUAGAAAUUAAUUUUAGAAUAUCUUAAUUAGGGUUAGAAAUAUUAUUAGAAAUUAAUUUUAGGAUAUAUUAGGAAUUUUAGGAAUAUUAAAUUUAACUUAGAAUUUAGUUGUUCUAAUUAGGAUUUUCAUAAAAUAGAAAUUUAAUCCAAAUAUUAGGAAUUUUAGGAAUAUUAAAUUUAACUUAGAAUUUAGUUGUUCUAAUUAGGAUUUUCAUAAAAUAGAAAUUUAAUCCAAUAGUAACCAUAAUUGUGAAUUGACGAUUAUACCCUUAGGGAUAAAAAUAGGCUAAUCUUGUAUGCUCCCCUAGUUGUAGGAAUUAUAGAAUAUUCUAAUUGGUCGAUUAACAUAGAUUGUCGCAUAUUCGUUGCUAGCUAUUAUUUCUUGUGUGGUUAAUUUUGAUUCUAAUGCAUGUUUAGAUAGAGCAUAAAUUUUAGAAUUAACUUUCACUCAAAUGAUUUUUACUUUCGCACUCCCUUGUACUUUACUUGUACCCCCCUCCUCUUUCUGAUGUACGCAUUUACUUGCUUUCUUUUAUUGCUUGUUAGCUACUCCUUAGGCAUUAGGAAUGUUCACCAUUUCGCAAUCAAUAAUCAAACCCUUGAUUCAACGUCAAGCGGUCUUUUUCAAAUCAAAUUCAAUAAACAAACCCUUGAUCCAACGUCAAGCAGUUUUUUUUCCAAAUCAAACUCAAAAAACAUAAUAAAUGGUGAUUAGGAUCGUGUGUCAUGAGCCUUAAGCGAUAAAGAAGGGAUGGGACUGGAGCUUUCCUACACUCAUUCUGAAUGCUUCGAACACAAGAUGUUUGGCUUGACCGUUUGAGGUAUUCACCUUUAUCCAUAGUCUUUAGUGCAAUCCGAAAUCAAUAACUCAUUUCUCAAAACAUAAAAACAACUCAACACAUUCAAACCUUUUGUUUGAGCCUUAGGGAGACCGUUUGAGGUAUUCACCUUUAUCCAUAGUCUUUAGUGCAAUCCGAAAUCAAUAACUCAUUUCUCAAAACAUAAAAACAACUCAACACAUUCAAACCUUUUGUUUGAGCCUUAGGGCGACACCAUUGAAAAUCCUUCUUCAAGGUAAAUAAAAUCAACAAAACAACCAAACAAUUUCAAAACCACGAACUACGAAGGUUCUAAUUUUUCACUUCAACAAGUGGGCAUACGUAGGCACGAGGAUCCAUUCCUUGGCGAGCACACUAAUUUAAAAUCUACCUUCACUCCGCAAACCUUUGGCAAGCAAACAUUCGAUAAACAAUACACACAUAAUCGCAAACAUCCUAGAUGGUUCCCAUGGAGUACCAUGGAUGUGAGGGGUGCUAAUACCUUCCCCUUGCAUAACCGACUUCCGAACCUCUUCGUGGUUGCGAUGACCAUAUUUUGGGGUUUUCUCAAUAUUUUCCCAUUCCUUUGGAAUAAAUAAAAGCCGAUGGCGACUCUGUACUUUUCGUGUAGCGACACUAGGGAGCCCUUUGUAUGUGUGUAUGUGUUUUUGGUAUAAAUGAUGUUUGAGAAGAAAUAGAGUGUGGGGAUGAGAAAAGAAUUCAUUAAUUAUAUUUUUGUGUUUGACAAGACCUUCGGACUUGUGCCUACGUACCAACAUAAAAUGAGGGAUCAAAACCUCGGAAUUUGUGGUAACAUUUUCAAAACGAGUGAAUUGCUUUUAACAAAAGUUUAAUAUAGAAGGGCACAAAGGGACAAAAUUUUAAAUGAAGUUGUUAGUUCUUUUUGUCUUUUGAAAUUUUAAGUCAAUAUGAUUAGAUUUAUUUACAAGUUUGAUUUAAGAAAGAAUUUGAAAAUUCAAUGGCAUAAGGCCAAAGUUUCUAAAUUGAAAUAGGUCUAAGUUUGAAAUCACAAGCAAAGAAAGUUUUUGAAAAGGGGUCGAGAUUUUAAAAUGUAAGAAGUGGGGGAAGAUGAAGAGGCUAUCCUAAGCGUAAAAUUAAAAUUAAGAGUUGAAAAUAUAUGACCAAUGGGAUGCAAUCCAACAGACAAGAAUGUCAUAUAGAAAACCCAAUUUCCCUUUGGACUUUGAAUUAAGAAAUAAUCAAUCAAGAAAUUAGCAAUACCCAAAUAUCAUGAAGGUCAAUGCAUCAAAUAAGGAUAGUCACAUCUAAGCAAGUAAAUCCCAUAGCUAGUAGUCUUCUUUGUCUUCUCACGUAUCAGAUGAAGAACCAUCACACACACAAUCAAAAUAAUAGUUAGCACCAAGACAAGGUAGCAGAUGAGUUCAAGUAAAUCCCAAGACUUGCAUCAAAUGAAGGCUCGGUUCAUAAUAACUUGGUCUCAGAAUGUUGGCAUUGGCCAAGUCCUUUUUGCAUAGGGAAUGUUGCCUAGUUCUAAGUCCAAAAGUUCAGAUCAAGCUCAACAGUCCACCAAACAUUUUUUUAGGGUUUUUGUUGUUUAUUAAGUAUUUUAAGGUCCUAUGACCACUAACAAAAUCAAAAUACACAAACAAAUAUAUACAAUUACAAGAUAUGGCUCAAAUGAGCAAAGUGAAAAUGGCAUAAACAUAAACAAGUUUAUUGAAAUGUAAAAGGCAAUGAAUGAUAAAUGACUAAAAAUUAAAUUACAUAAAGUAAAUGACUUGAAAAGUAAAGCAAUAUUAAUAAAAGUUAGUCAAAUGUUAGUCAAGUGUUAGUGGUGUUUUGCUUUUCAAUUGAUUAAGUCAUUCUUUGGAGAACACUCAACCAUCCAUUCACAAGCAUGAAUCCUUGAACCAAGACAUUUUCCAUAGGAAGGAAAAUAGGCCAAGCUUCCACAUAAUACCAUGAAGGAUGAGAGACUUACAAUAUCACUUACUAUAAUGUUAUACCUUUAGGGUCAAAUUUAGCUCUAUGUUAAGCAAUCGUAAUUGGACUUAUGUAGAAGUCACAACUAUCUGAGGUCGGGAAAUAGAAAUUUAGGUGUUAAUGCAUGUUAGAGAUUUGGUAUAAUGAACCAAACUCCUAAAACAUACCACACACUAAAAGAAAAGAUCAAGAGGGAUGGACCUAUUCAUCCAUACUUGUAUUGGUUCAUCUGACACAAGGUCAUCGAUGAACCAAUUAGCCUUUAGAUAUUAGAGAUUUCAUUGGUCAAUUAAAGGAAUGAGAAAGAAUAGGGAUGAAGAUGAAGGGGGAGAGGAUGUGAGAGAAACACAAAUUGGUCAUGGGAGGAAUUUUAUCAAAUUAAAAUCAUUCGUCCAUUUUGGGAGAUGAAAUAUACAUUUCAUCAAUCCCCUAAAUCCAACGAUUUUAAUCCAACAAAAGUCAAAUCAACCUUGCCCAAGGCCCAAACAAAUAUUCAAACAUCACAAGACCAUAAAAAUGGCUCAACAUAAUUUUUACACAUUUAAUCAAUUAAAAAUCAAAUUAGAAAUGCAUUAAAAUUCAAUUUAAUUUGGUCAAAACCUAAAACCUCUUCAAAACACCAAAUAAAUGAUCAAGAGAUUUAUCCUAGGUCAAACAAGGUCAAAGGACCUUAGACAAAAAAAUUCAUCAUUUUUGAAAAUUCAUAAGUAUUUUUAAAUAAUUAAAAAUAUGCACAAAAACAUUUAAUUCAUGAAAAAUAUCAAAAUUAAUCCAAAAAAUAAUUUUAGUUCAGAAAAUGAAAUAGAAAAAUAUUCAAAGAUUUUUUGGUGAAAGUCCGAUAUUUUUGGGAUUAAAAAUGAAAUUAUUAUGAAUUAAACAAAAUAAAGCAAUUAAACAUAAAUUCAGAAAAUAAAAGGUGACAAAUGUGAUGGCCACACACCCAUGUUCCACCAUUCUCCUUGGUCAAUGAAAUUUACGCGUGGUAAUCAGAAUGAACACUCAAGAUUAAAACAUUUGAAUCAGAACAGAUGGCUUAGGACUUACCAACGCACCACCGGAGCCUUAACUCCGAUCAUCUUCUCUGGUGAUCACCACCAGACUGGUCCAACCUCAACUUCAUAAAAAAUGAAAAAAUUAAGGACACUAUUUCAAAGAGAAAAUACUCAGGAGCUCGAAUUUGGCCUCAACUUUCUCCAAUUCCAAGUAUAUAAAAAGAUACAGGGAUUUGAAUUUUGAGGAUCAUGAACUGAGUUGCUUCGAUUUGACCUCAAACCAACUCAAUCUUGUUGCCUACAUUGGUAGGACUUUAGUCAACCAAAAACCAAUUAAAAUAAUUGAUAAACGAGGGAGAAUUAUAAGAAGAGAAGUUUAUGAAGUUUCACCUUCGAGUCGCUUCUAUUCAGAUUGAUCUUGAUCUGGAUUUGCUUGAUUCCUCCUCCUCUUGCUUGCAGUAAUCAAAUGAAAUGGAAAAGGCAAUGGAUUCUUGGAGUUUGAACUUCAAAAUAAAUUUUUUAAUUCAAACUCGAUUUUCAAAGAAAUCCUCAAGAAAUUCUAUGGUGUGAGGGUCUGAGUUCUCUUGGCAAAGCUUAGGCAAGGUGUUCAUGAUAUUUCUGAGGCCAUGAGCUUGUUUAAAUAAGCAAGGGAAUUGAUUUUUGCACCACUUGAAGUUUUGCCAAAAUUGGAAACAAAGUUCCAUGGAUGCAUGGGCAAUUGUUUGGGCCUAAAUAAUGAUGCAAUCCAUCUCCAAUUCGUGCACAAAGUGUACUGAGGUCAUCACAUGGAAGCAUGCAAAGAAGAAUGAUCAUUUGAAUCCAAAUCUUGCCAAAACAAACCCAACAAAGGAGCCAUGCACAAGUCCCUCAAUUUUGAUCCAAAUGGGUUCAUCUUGGACUUUUUGUAAAGGUAAGAUCAAGGGGAACAACUUUCAUGUAGAACACUUUUCCAUUUCAAGCUUGGAUCAUGAUGAAUUUUGAGGUGGAAGUUUGGAAAAUCACUUCUUCCACCUUGAAUGACUUUUGCUAUGGACUUCAAAUGGAAAAAGUUACUUCAUCAAAGUUUUAUAUAUUGCAAACCUCUUAAAUUUGGUCACAAAUUUUUUACCUCAUUUGGAUUUGGCAUGGAUGGGUUAUUCAUUUUAGAAGGUGAGGAAAAUCACUUGUUCAUUGGUAAUGGCCCGAAAUGACCUAUAAUGUUUCCUUUUGGAACAUGAAUUUUCAAGUUGAAUAUGAACUUCCUUAAAACAUAAAAGUUAGAGAGGACAUAUUGAGUUUGAUUAUGGAACUUGAAUGGAUUUCAUCUCAUAAAAAUUGAGCAAGUUAUGGUCCUUGGAAGUUUACCUCCUAACUAGGGUUUAGACAAAAUGACCUAUAAUCUUUCACCAUAAAAAAUGACUUUCCAAGCAAAAAUAUAUCUUGAAUUAAACAUGAAAGUUGCUUAUAAUGUCAUAAAGAGUAACGUUUAUCUCGGAAUCAUUUUCAUAUGACAAAAAUUGUAGGAGAUAGGGUCUAGGGAGCCCCAGUUUUGACCAGUUGACUUUCUCUGGUCAACCACCAUGAACCAUCUUGCAAACUUGACAUUAUCUUGAUACUUGGUACUCAUGGAGGAUCAUAUAUGUGUAGGAUGAUAUAUAAUUAAGUAUCCCUUUAUAUAAUUGAUCAAAUGUUGAAGAAACUUGUUGAGGAAGUCACACAAGAUACCCAAGUGAAUUAGGGCUUCAAAGGCAAACAAGCUUCAAACUCUUGAUGAAUUCUUGAUCAAAAUGAUAUGUGAAGACCAUGGGGAUCUAUAUAUGUUGUAUAGAGCUAAUGUAAACCAUCUCUUGAUUAGUCUCCUUGCAUUGAGGGUCUUAAACCCUAGGUAUGAGCUUGAUGAGGCAUGGGUGAACACACACACUACCUACAAAAGUAACAAACUAUACAUUGACAUAUUUUUGGCAUUUUGGUUAGUAAAUAAUGAAGAAAAAAUAUGAUACAAUCAAAUGUGCUUGGUGAACUCUCCCAAUACAAACCCAAUGAAUGAGGGGUAAGGAGGAUGCCAAGGUGUAAUCCCAAAGUCAAUGCAUAUGAUGAGAUAUCAUGAGGGAUCUUAGGGCCAAACUUGGGGUCUUACAAUUUUGAAUAGUUUUUAUGCGUGUUUAAUUUUUACCAGCAUGUGCACGUCGAACGAUGGAGGUAUACAAUUCAAUGAAACGUAAUUUAAUUGGUAAAAGGCCAAGGAUCCUUACCCCAAAAGUAAGUAUUCCUUGUGCUGUUUGAUAUUCUUUUAUUUGUGUGUGUUACAUAGUAACUCUAUAAAUAUUAUUUGUAGUCGAGAAGACAAUUCAAUAACUAUUCUUGUGGAUACUAUGUUAUGAAAUAUAUGCAUGAUAUUGUCACCGGAGGCAUUACAAAUGGAUGGAGCAAGCAUAAUGUAUUAUCUUAAUCCAUAUACAUGUAAGUUAUGUAUAUUUCUUAAGUUAAUAUUGUUUUGUUAGCUUACCAUAACUUAAACUUUAUUCUAAUUAUAGGAGUUUAACGAUAAUACACCAUUAUCACAAGAAGAGAUAGAUGAUAUCCGAUCAAUUUAGGUUGGUGUCUUCUUAUCAUCUUUUUAUGAAAUUUAAAAACAAUAGUUUUUAUUUUGUUAUAAGCUGAAUUUGUACAUAUAGAGAUUUUGACAUUUUCAUGUGUUAAUGACAAUAAUGUAAAUUUGUACAUUUGGUUUUGUCACAAUGUAAAUUUGUAAUUCUGUAUAAAAAAGGAAUACUAAUUUUGUUAUCUGUUUUUGAUUUGGUAUUCUAUAACAAUUUAAUAGUUUCUGCAUGUGUACAAAAUGAUACAGGCAUGCUAGUAAAAUGAGAAUGAAAACUAAUUUAUGUUGCAUUAAAAUUGAUUAAGCUCCUCGGUUAAAGUCAAAAAGCGACGUACAAACAUAUCUUAUUAUCUUUGUCAUUUAAUAAAAACGUAAGGUAUGUUGAGCGUGCUAGUUAAUUUUGAAAAUAAAAAUACGAUGUUGAUAGAGAUCAAACUAUUGACCUUUUGCAUUUUAACCUCAGCUUUAUACACAUCGAUGGGUAAAGUUCCCACUUUUCAUGUCACCUUUCGUUACCUCGGCAUUAUAAUUGGGGUGAUAUCGAUUUCGUGUCUGAUAUGACAUAUGUUAUUUGUUAGAUGAUUUAUGAAAAGAUGAAGGCAUCGCAAAGUAGAUAAAACAAUUACCAUGACAAGCAAAGAAAUUCUCUUGAAUUAUGAGAGGGAGACCAUGUGUUCUUGAGAGUAACUUUUGUGACUACUGUUGGUCGUGCGUUGAAGUCUCGAAAGCUUACUUAUCAUUUUAUUGGUCUAUAUCAGAUCCUUAAAUGAGUCAACGAAGUUGCUUAUUGAGUUGCCUUACCACCAUCUCUUUUGAACCUUCAUAGUGUCUUUCAUGUGUCUCAACUUUAGAUGUAUAUUCCUGAUCCGUCCCAUGUGAUCCAAUUGGAUGAUGCACAAAUGAAAGGUAACUUGACUCUUGAGACAUCACCCUUGCGGAUUGAGGACCGAGAAACAAAGCACUUGAGGGAAAGAGAUCGCUUUGGUUAAGGCGGUGUUAAGAGGACUUGCUGGAGGAAGUGUGUCAUGGGAGCUAUAGAGCCUGAUGAGAGAGUCUUAUCCAUACUUGUUUCCGUCAUGUAAUUUUUGAGGGAGAAAAUUCUUUAAGUGGGGGAAACUUGUAACACCUAGGUUUUGAUUAUUUUAUUUUUAAUUUUUGAGGGAGAAAAUUCUUUAAGUGGGGGAAACUUGUAACACCUAGGUUUUGAUUAUUUUAUUUUUAAUUGAGUUUUGGAGUAUUUUUGACUUAUUUAAUUAUUUUAUUUAAGUUAUUGAAUUUUAGUGGAGUGUUAUUAUAUUUAAAUUAAUGUAGAAGUAAGGAAUGGUAGUUUCAUAUUAAACUAGAAUUUAAUUAUAUUCUUAAUAAUUUAAUUAACAUAAAAUAAGGGAAAUUGAGACUUUUGGGAGAAAAAUAGAUUUUUAAUAAAAAAUAAGGAGGUGAGUGGAAUUAGUGAGAGUUGAUGGGAGUUUGGAGAAUGAAUUAAAAUAAAAGGAAAUUAGGUUUUUUAUAUAAGAGAGAAAAGUUGAGGGAGUCGUCAGUACAUAGAAUUCUUAAAAGAGGCUAAGGAGAGAAAGACAUAAGCCUAACUUAGAAGGAGAAUGAGGGAGAUUCCAUUGUCAAAGCUUUAAGCUUAUUAUACGAAUUUGAGGUAGGGGGAGGAGAAACUAUUCAUGAUAUGGGUGUUUAGGCAUGAAGAUAGAGAGGAUCCUUUUUCAUAUUCCUUUUUCUUUUUUUCCCUUUUCCGCCAUUGAUAAGGGUUUUGAAGCUUGAGAAGGUUUGUGCAAAACCUCUAUAGGGCGUUAUCAUAUGAUAUGACUUUCUUGUCGUGUUGGUUGUUUGUUGAUUUCUUGUAAGUUUGUAUGUCUAAUCUUUAGUUUUGAUGUUCUUGAGUAAAGAUGUUAAAUGGAUAAAACAUGUUGAUGUUUUAUGGUAAAGCGAUAAUAUAAAUGUUGAAUCUAUGAUGUUUGACGUGAUAAAAUUAAUAUUAUUUAUGGUUGAUGUUUUACUGUGUGCUUCAUGGAGGCGACGGGGCGUGCGCACGACGAGGUGGUCGCACGGACGCAUGGCUCUACAACGGCACAGACGAUGGGCGUGUCGCAACAGUGGAAAGGACAAAGGGCUCGCGAUGCAUGAGGGAUUGGCGGUGACAAUUUCACGGUCCUGUUCGACGAGUUUCAAGUCAUUUUCGAUUUGUUUUUCGCAUUGCUAGAGUAUUGGUAUGUUUAAAGUCUUCUCAUACCUAAUUUUGACCACGCUCUUUAACUAAGUCUUUAAUGUUUAUCUUGCCAAUGACCCAAGAGUUAAAGGAGGAUCAUUUGGACUUUUUACCUUUGUUUACUUUAGGCUUAUUUUUAGUUCUUUUAAUUCAUUUUGACUUCUAUUUAUUAAAAAAGUUAUUAAGCCUAUUUAUUUUUUAAUUAGGAACACUAAUAUUAAUAAAAAAUUUUGCUAGUCUAUUACUAGGUUAUUAUUAUUAUUAAAGCAUUAUUAUCAUUAGGACUAGUGUAUUUUCGUAUUAGUGGUUAAUCGGGUUGAUUAGACCAUUAUUAUUAUUUUAAGUAUUUAAUAUUAUCAUCAUUAUGAGGUAUUAACAAUAUUUUGUCUCAAAGUUUAUUAGGGGUUGUUAUUUAUGGUAUUAUUAUUGUUAAUAUUAUUUAUUUCUUUUAUUAUACCGAGUCAAACAAGAAUUCAAGUCCAACAAGGAGACCGAAACCCUAAACGCGUGAACCUGGCUGCAAAAGUUGGAUCAAAUUAAAUCCUAAAUCCAACAUCACAAAAAAGAAUAAAAAGGAUGUUUUUCAUUGAUAACAAUUUCGGUUACAAUCUCAAACUUGUAUAGAUCAAAUCAAAUUACAAUAUAACAUUUCCUUAUCUAACAAAUUUAACCUAAAACUAACUAAACCUUAAGUUUAACAAUAAUAUAAAACAAAAUCCUAAAGCUUUUAACAACAAGAUCAUCCAUGAUUUACAGAAAAAACAUAACCUUAAGUUGUUGUACUUUACACUGAAGAACAACAACAAAAAACCCUAGGCAACUCCCAGCCUCUUGAAACCCCGUUCGCCUUCAAACAUCCACAAACCUCGUACCAACACAUAAGGAAAAGAAGAAGUCAGGAGAACAAUUUUUAAAAAAAAAUUAAAUAAUAUGAAGAAAAAGAAGCAGAAAAGAAAAGAGUUACCUUUUUGUACCGGAGAAUAUCUCCUCUUUGUAAGUUGGUGCUUCCUUUAUUAGAACUUGCUCGGAUACCAUGAUAAUUGUUUUGAUUAUUAUGAUCAUUGUGUUCAGUAGGAUAAGGUGCAUGAUUAGGGUUUAUUGGUUAUUAUUUUUUUAUGCAAUGUUCUAUGUAGGGACAAACAUAAGGGAUAUGGGUGAUUUAGGGCUUGAAGUUCAUUUGUUUUGAUUUAGGGGUUUUGGAUAGAGAUUAUUCGGUAUGGUGUUUGGAUAUGUGGUUGGGUCUUGUGUUUGGUUGAAGUUGGAUGGAUUAGGUAUAAACCUGAGUAGGUUAGGGUUUUAGGAUGAAGGUAAAGAGGGUUAGGGUUCAUCCAGGUUAGGGUUAGGUUUCAUGUUUCUAGGCUUGGGUUGAAGGUAAUGUUAGGGUUCAUAGGCUAGGGUUCUUAAUAUGGUUAGGGUUCUUGGACUAUGGAAGGGUUAUGGGUUUGGUGUUCAUCCUAUGAUGAACACCAAUGAAGGUUAGUAGGUGUUUGAUGGUAGGGGAUGGUGGUAAGAAUUAGAGUGGAGUGGUCGUAGUGUUUAGGUGGUGGCCUAAGUGAAGUGUUUAGAGAGAAGAGGGAGAAUGAAGAUAGUAAAGAGAGAGAAAGAAAAUGGAAAAAUGAAGAUUUUUGAAGGAAAAAAUGAAUAUAUAUACUCCCUUCGUCCAUUCACUCACCUUGCGUCACAUGGUGCUCUCUCACCCAAUAGCCAUGUGGUCCUUAUAUAGGGAACCACACCUUAACUCCCAUGUGCGGAUGAAUCUCAAGCGUCUAUCUGUUGCACCUUUCCCUUUGACUUGAUCCCACAGCGAUAUCACAUUGACUAUCCAGUCAAUAAAUCAUAAGGUCUCAGUUGAGAGUUAACUUCUAACUCUUAUGAGUUGGCCCUUUACGCUGGUGUGUCCCAAAUGUAACAGGUUAGCGCCCAUGUCUUUUCACACCCCUAAUAUUGCUUAAAAUCCAAUAUUCUACUGAGGUUGCAACCCCUAUUUUCUAUAUUAUUUCUUUAUUUUCUAUCAUUUUAAUUGUUUAUUUGUAUUUUUAAUUUAUUCAUUUAAGUGUUAAUUUUAGUUUAUUCUUUUUGUUAAUUAAUUAACUUAAUUGUUAGUUUAAUCCUAAUUACAAUAUAUAUCCUUUUAUUUAAAUUAUAACACAAAAUUAUCUAUUUAAUGUUAUUUGUUUAGUUAUAUUUUAAUGAUGAAUAAUGACUUAAAAAAAUGUCACAUUUUAUUUUUUAUUCAACCAAACUAUACUAUUUCUUCUUGUGUAAAUUCAAUUAUAUUUCAUAAAAAUAUUUAUUCUUACCUUCAAAUUAAAAAAAAUAAGCAAAGAUGAAUAAGUAAUAUUUUCUUUUGUAAAUAUGCUUUCACCUUGUACAUAAAUCACCAAAUUAUUUUUCUUAAACAAACUAAAUUAACAUUUUUAAAAAUAAAUGGAUAGGUGGACGCACAUCCACCAUGUCCUUGACUAGUUGAUUGGUCAACGCACGCCGCAUCAGUCGAUUAUUCAAAAACCCAAAACAAUCUAUAAUCAAUCUCAACACAUCAAAUGUCUUUUGUACUCUUGCGCACUUUAUUCAAAAAUCUUUUCAUAAAAACAUAGGUUACGUCUUUUCGAAGCGUAAUACAAACGAGCAUUUAAACCUCCAUCCUGCAAGCGUAAAAGCCAAUUUUUAAAUGCAAGAACAACUUAAAUCCUAUCCUAUAAAAUCAAUUAACUCACACUUAUUUUAUAAGAACUAUGAAGCUCUGAAUUUCUCAUUGCACCUGAGAAUAUGAAGGAACAGGGUUUUAAAACCAUGGUGAGCACAAUAAUAAAAAAAACGUUUCUUUUCUUUUCUUUUUUAAACCAAUUCCUUUUUGUAAAUAAUUUCUUCAUGUAAAUACCUUAAUAAAUAUAUUGAUAAAUAACUAUAAAACAAAACCAAUAUACCAUAAACAAACAAUUAAUCUUAGGACUAUAGGAGGUUCAUGUAGUGGUAAAUUCAUGACCAUUAAGUUAUGAAUAAACUUAACGUCAAUAAAACCAGAGUCGCCACCGCGCUUUUAUUGUUUCUAAGAGAAAAGGGAAAAGUACGAACAAAACCCAAAGAUAAGAAGUUUUCAAAUCAAAACUAAUAAAAUGCCAGAGAUUACAGGUAAGGGGUUUGGUUACACGGAGGGAAGGUGUUAGCACCCAAAGUGUCCUAGGGAGCCCUUUUUUGUGUGCAUAUGUAUUCUUGUACAAAAUGAUGUUUGCAAUAAAUAGAGUGGAGUGGUGAGAAAAGAAUUCAUUAAUUAUAUUGUUGUGUUUGACAAGACCUUCAGACUUGUGCCUACAUACCAACAUAAAAUGAGGGAUCAAAACCUCGUAGUUCGUGGUAAUAAUUUCAAAGUGAAUGCAUUGCCUUUAACAAAAAUUUAAGUUUAACAAAAGAAAAAGAGGCCUAAAAAAGGUUUGAAUCAAUGUUAGUUCUUUUUGGAUUUUGAAAUUUUAAGUCAAGUAUAGUUAAGUUCAUUUGCAAGUUUGUUUCAGAAAAGAGUUUAAAAAUGCAAUGGCAUAAGGCCAAAGUUUCAAAUUUGUAAAAAUGGUCUAAGUUUAGAAAACAAAUACAAGCAAAGAAGAUUUUAAGAGGAGGGAGAGAUUUGAAAUUAAAGAAGUGGGUAGGAGAUGAAAAGACUAAUCCUAAGCACAAAUUUAAAAGUUAAGAGUUGAAAAGAUCUGACCAAUGGGCUGCAAUCCAAUAGACAAGAAUAUCAUACAGAAACCCAAAUUUCCCUUGAACUUUAGAAUCAAGCAAUAUCAAUACACACAUAGCAAGGUGAAGAGCAAGGCAUCAAAUAAAGAUAGCCACAUCCAAUCUUAGCAACUCCAUGAUCUUCUUCAUGAUUCCCAUGUAUCAGAUGACUUCCAAGAUAGGCAUUAGACACAGGUUCAAAAUAAUAUCUUCAAUAGGAUCAUGUCGCAGAUGAACUCAAAUGAAUCUUCAAUAAUUGCAUCAGAUGAAAGUCCACUUCACAAGCACUUGGUUUCAUGAAAGUUGGCAUUGGCCAGGUCCUUUUUCAUAGGAUGUGUUGCCUAAUUCUAAGUCCAAUGUCUCAGAGCAAACCAACAGUCCACACAAAAUGUCUUUUAGGGUUUUUGUUAUUAUUAUGUACAUUAAGGUCAAAAGACCACAAACACAAACAGUAUAUGUAAUCACAAGAUAUGGCUCAAAUGAGCAAAGUGAAAAUGACAUUAAAGUAAACAAGUUAAAUAGUAUGAAUAAUGGCAAAUGAGUAAAAGCUCAAAAUUAAAGUGCAUAAAAGUAAAUGGCUUGAAAUUAAAUAUUAGUUGUUAAUUGAUUAGAAGUUAGUAUUGCUUUUGCUUUUGUUUUGUUUAAGUCAUUCUUUGGAGAACACUCAACCCACUUGUCACAAGCAUGGAUCCUUGAACCAAUACAUCUCUCAAAGGAAGGAAAAAAUGCCAAGUUUCCACACAAUACCAUGAAAGAGGGGAGACUUACAAUCUCACUUACUAGAAUGCUAUGCCUUUUGUGUCAACAAUUUAGCGCUAUGUUAAGCAGUCGUCAUUGGACUUAUGUAGAAGUCACAACUAUUUGAGGUCGGGCAAUAAACUUUUGGUGUUAAUGCAUGUUAGAGACAUGGUAUUAUGAACCAUGCUCCUAAAACAUACCACACUUAAAAAGAAUAUGCAAAAGGGGUGGACCUAAUCUCAUCCUCACUUAUGUUGAUUUUUCAAUCAAUCACCCUUAGGAUAUAGAGAUAUCAUAGGUCCAUGAAAUGAAUGAGAAGAGAAUGGGAUUGAGAUGAAGAGGUAGGGGAAAUGGAAUAAACACAAAUUGGUCAAGGGAAGACUUUUAUCAAAUUAAAAUCAUUCAUUCAUUUUAGGAGAUGAAAUGUAUAUUUCAUCAAUCCCCUAAAUUCAAUGAUUUUAACUCAACAAGGUCAAAUCAACCUUGACUAAGGUCCAACUGUUGGUGUAAGCCCUAGAGGCUAAUACUUUUGGUACUUGUAUCGAAUUAUUUAAGGUUUUUUAUUUAUUAUGGUUGUUUAAUAAAGUCCCUGGAAUAGAUAGUCCGUUUAAUGUAUUAAGUGUGACUUAAUCAUGAGAGCACAUUAAACAUAAGGACACUAUUCUUAAAGUAUCCGUAGUCGAGCUUUAGAGACGAGAAGCUAGGUUUUGUCAGACCACAUGACAUUUUCGUGUCUUGGGUAGCAAAAGUGAUGUGUUGUUUAGAUACCGCUCACUGUUUAUUAUGUUAAAUGCGUGAAUUUAAUAUAUUGCACGUCGCGAAAGAACCUACAGGUUCACACACAAAGGACAAAUGAUGAGAAAUACGAGUAACUAAGGAACACCGUAGGUACGGUGCGCACUUAAGUGGGAGACGAAAUAUGGUAAGGUACCAAAUACUUAAGUGAUUUUGGCAUAUUAUGAGAUAUGGGCCAAAAUACACUUAAGUGUGCUUUUAGCUUGAAGCCCAACAAGUGGUUCUAUAAAUAGAACCCUUGGUAGAAGCAUUGUCACUCCACAGAGAUUCAACUCAAGUGAAGAGUUGGAAUUUCGUUUUUCUCUCUCUCUCUCUCUCUCUCUCUCUCUCUCUCUCUCUCUCUCUCACUCAAGGCCUUCAUUCUUACCAGCUAGCACUGAGAUUGAAGGAUUCGUUCGUGUGGACUGAGUAGAGACGGUGUCAUCGUUCAACGUUCGUGAUCACUCCGUGGAUCUGUAUCAAAGGUUUGAUCGUACAAGAGAUCUGCACCAAAGGUUUGAAUCGCCACAAGAGGUAACGAUUCUAUCACUGAUCAUGCCUUCGUAAGGAUCAUUAAAGGAGAAAUUUUUAAAUUCCGCUGCGCCUUGGAUGGCAAUUCCUUCACCAACAACACAAGUCAAACUCAACAAGUCAAGAUUAGAAGCUCAACACAAUUUAUUUUACAUUUAAACAAUUGAAAUCAAUUAAAAUAUGCAUUAAAUUAAAUUAUGGUUUAUCAAAAUCCUAAAACCUCAUCAAAACACCAAAGAAAUGACCAUGGGAUUUAUCUUAGGUCAAACAAGGUCAAAGGACAUUGGAGAAAAAAUUCAUAAUUUUUGGAAACUUAAAAGUAUUUUUAAACAACUAAAAAUAUUCACAAAAUCAAUUAAAUCAUGAAAAAUAUUAAUAAUGAUCCAAAAUAUAAUUUUAAUUCAGAAAGUGAAAGAGGAAUUUAUUUAAAUUUUUUUGGUGAAACUCUCAUAUUUUUUGGAUCAAUAUUAAAAUUAAUAUGAAUUAAUGAAAUUAAACCAAAUAAAAUGAAAAUCAGAAAAUAAGAAAAAAUGUUGACCACUUGAUCUCCCUCAUUAAUUGAGGUGGCAGAUCAAGUGGCUGCUAGCGCGCAUUCCACCAUAGUCAUGAGUCAACAUGCAACAUAAGUGGUAAUCAGUUUCAACGUGCGAGAUUAGAACAUUUCAAAUGGAUCAUGUGGUUCUGAUGAGUGCCAACGCAAAACCGGAGCCAAAGCUUCAGCCUCCUUCUCUGGUGAGCUUCACCGGACUGGUUCACUCACAACCAUCACCAAAAUUAAAAAUAAGGACAUGAAUUUAAAGUAAAAAUGCUCAGGAGCUCGAGUCUGGCCUCAAUUUAUCCUAACUCCAAGUAUAUUGAAAGAUACAAGGAGUUGAAAUUUGAGGUGCACGAUCUGAGUUGCUUCGAUUUUACCUCAAAGCAACUCAAUCUUGUUGCCUACAUUGGUAGGACUUCAGACAACCAAAGAUCCAAGAUAAUUAUGGAGAAUUGAGUGAGAAUUGAAGAGAUAAAAAAUUCUUGAAAAUACCUUCAAUGCAGGUUUGUGCUUGAUUGAUCUUGCUCUUGCUCUUGAUCUUGCUCAGGACACUUGAGAGAGUAGAAUUGAAUGGACAAAAGGCUCAGGAUCCUUGGAGAUUUGAAUCUCAAAAUAGUUAUAUUCAAACUCAAUUUCCAAUGGAAAUUAUCAAGAUUAUCCUUUGAAAUGAGAGGGUUUGGAGGUUUGGAAUCAAAGUUGGCGCGCAGGGUCUUUGUUUCUGAGCAUAGAGGGCUCUAUUUAUAGCCAAAUGGAUUGAUAUUUACACACUUGAAAUGAAAUCCAAAAAUAGCAAUGUACAUUGCAUGGAUGCAUGGACGUGUAACAGGCCCAUGUAAUCACUUCUUCUGGUCCAUAAUUGAGUACAAGCAUUGUUGAGAUCACAUUGGAAUGUUAGGCAUUGGUGUAUGGAAUGUUCAAGUUCAAUUUGUGCUAAAUGAUCAUUCAUGUUCAAGCCAUGCAUAACCCAUUUAAAUCUUGUCCAAAAUGGAUGAAAUUGGAGUUUUUGGAAAGGUUAGAUCAAGAGGAACAACUUUCAUGUUGAACACUUUUUCAUUUCAAGCUUGGACCAUGAUAUGAAUUUUGAGGUGGAAGUUGGGAAAAUCAAACAUGUCGAAAUUUUUUCUAAGUGUCAAGCCAUAUGUUCACUUAUUCCAUCUUGGCUAACUUUUUAUGGGGGCUUUAAAUGAGAAACGUUCCUUCAUGAAAGUUAUAGAUCUCUCAAAGUAAUUAAAAAUGGUCACAAAUUUGACCUCAUUUGGAUUUAAUAUGAAGGAGAUAUUCAUUUUUGAAGUUGAGGAAAGUCACUUGUUCAAUGGCAUUGGUCCAAGAUGACCUAUAAUGUAUCCUCAUAUCACAUACACAUAAAAGUUGAAUUUGUUCUUCCUCGAAACAUCAAAGUUUAAGUAGACAUCUUGAAUUUUAUUGUGCAACUUGGAAAUAUUUCAUCUCAUAAAAAAUGAGCAAGUUAUGGUCUUGGGAAGUUGACCUCCAACUUAGGGUUUAGACAAAAUGACCUAUAAUCUUUCACCAUAAAAAAUGUCUUUCCAAGCAAAACUAGCUAUAGACUUCAACAUGAAAGUUGUUUGGAAUAUAAUUUAGAGUAACACUUCACUUGGAAUCACUUUCAUAUGACAAAAAGUGUAGGAGAUAGGGUCUAGGGAACCCAGUUUUGAUAAGAUGAAUUCCUCUGGUCAACCACCAUCAACCAACUUGCUAACUUGCAAUUCUCUUGAAUUUUGGGGACUCAUGGGAGAUCAUAUAUGCAUAAGAUGAUGAAUUUUUAAGUAUCCCUUGAAUUAUUUGAUCAAUUGUUGAAGAAGUCACAUAAGAUACCCUGAUGAAUUAGGGUUUCCAAGGCAAACUAUCUCCAAACUCUUGAUGAUUACUUGAUCAAACUAAUAUGUGAAGCUCAUGGGGAUUCAUAUAUGAUGCUUAUAGCCAUAUUAGACCACUUAUUGAUUGACCUCCUUACAUUGAGGGUCUUAAACCCUAGAUAUGAGCUUGAUAGAUCAAAGGUGAGCAUGUGCACUACCUACAAAAGAGUUAGACAAAUGCAAAGACAUAUUUUUGGUAUUUUGGUUAGUAAAAAUGAUAAAAUACAAAGUAUGAUACAAUCAAAAGAUGCUUGGUGAUCUCUCCCAAUGCAAACCCAAUGUAUGAGGGGUAAGGAGGAUGCCAAGUUGUGAUCCCAAUGCCAAUGCAUAUGAUGAGAAAGCAUGAGGUAUCUUAGGGUUAAAAUUGGGGUCUUACAGUUCCUAUUGAGUAUAAUAGAUGUGAGGGGUGAUAAUACCUUCCCCUCGCAUAACCGACUCCCGAACCCAUAUUUGGUUGCGAUAACCAUUUUAUCCUUUUUCUGUUCCCCGAGGUUUUAUCGUUAUUUUCCCUUUCCUUAGUAAUUAAUAAAAUCAGGCGACGACUCUAUUAGUCAUCCAUGAGCAUACCAUGCGCUCACGAGUUCUUAUUUUUUUGAGAUGUGACCGAGUCAAGUUUGAGUUAUUUUAUAUCUUUAUAUUUGAGUUUGAGUUAUUUGAUAUGUUUAUAGUUGAGUUUGAACUAUUUGAUAUGUUCAUAGUUGAAUUUAAGUUAUUUGAUAUGUUUAGUCAACUCAUACUCUUAAUUUACUCAACUCAGACUCAAAUUAAUAUAUUUAGAGUUGAGUCUGAAAUGUUUAGAGUUGAUUUUGAUGAGAAAAUUAAAUGAUUUGAAUUAAAGUUGUAGACCUUAAAGUACAUGUUGUUUACCCUUAACCUUGAAUAUAAAUUGUUAGAGUUAAUUGUGAAUUAUGUUGAUGUUAUGAACAUGCCUUGUUUAAUAUUAAUGGUUGUUUUAUGUUAUUUUGAUGUUGUUAAUGAGGUUGAUGUUUAGGUUUAAAAGAAACCAGUGUUAUAGUACUCCGGUAUAGUGUUGUAGGUGUAAGACCCCAAUUUUUACCCUAAGAUCCCUCAUGCAUUCCCAUCAUCAGCAUAAGCAUUGGGAUCACAUCUUGGCAUCCUCCUUACCCCUUUUCAUUGGGUUUGUUUUGGAAGAGAUCACCAAGCAUAUUUGUGAUUAUAUCAUACUUGUAUAUUAUCAUUUUACUAACUAAAAUACCAAAAAUAUAUCUUUGUAUCUAUCUAACUCUUUUGUAGGUAGGGCAUGAUCUCAUUGAUUCAUUGAUCACAUCUAGGGUUUAAGACCCUCAUGAACAAAGUUCACAACCAAGAAUUGAUUUAAGAAUGGUUAUGAACAUCAUAUAUGAGUCCCAAUUUCUAUUACAUGUUAUAUUGAUCAAGUUUUCUUCAAGAGUUUGAGGGUGAUUUGCCUUGGAAACCCUAGUUUGACUAGGUAUCUUGAGUAACUUCUCCAACAAGCUAUCUCACCAAUUGAUCAAAUUUCUCAAGGGACACUUAAAAAUUCAUCUCUUAUGCAUAUAUUAUUACCAUGACCCAAGAAAGUCAAGUGAAUUGGAAGUUAGCAAGUUGGUUGAUGGUGGUUGGCCAGAUGAAUUCAUCUGAUCAAAACUGGGUCCCUAGACCCUAUAUCCUACAAUUUCACCUAUGAACAUGAUUCCAAGAUAAAACUUACUCUAAAUGCAUUAUAAACAACUUUCAUGUUGAGACCUAGAGCUAGUUUUGCUUGGAAAAUCAUUCUAUGUUGAAACAUUAUAGGUCAUUUUGUCUAAACCCUAAUUUGAAAGUCAACUUCCAAGGCAUAACUUGCUCAAUUUUAUUGAGAUGAAAUAUUUCCAAGUUUAAAAUAGAAUUCAAUGUGUAUACUUAAACUUUGAUGUUUGGAGUGGGAGCUAAUUCAACUUUUUUGAGCAUGUGAUAUGAGGGCUCAUUAUAGGUCACUUUUGACCUAUACCAUUGAUCAAGUGAUUUUUCCAAACUUCAAAAAUGCAUAACUCUAUCAUUUAAAAUCCAAAUGACAUGAAAUUGGUGACCAUUUUGAAGGUAUUUGAUAGAUAUACAACUUUCAUUAACACAAUUUUCUCAUUUGAAGCUCCCACAAAAAGUUAAGCAAGGUGGAAUAUUGAGACAUAUGGCUUGACACUUAGAAAAAUUUUGAUAUGUCAAAUUUUUCCAAAAUUCCACCUCAAAUUUCUCCAAGUUCCAAACUCCAAAUGAAAAAGUGUUCAACAUCAAAAUUGUUCCUCUUGAUCUCACCUUUCCAAAGAGCUCAAAUUCGUUCAUUCUGGACUUGAAAUGCAUAGGCUGCGCAUGGCUUAAACAUGCUGAUAUCAUUUGGCAUUGAUCCAACUUCAAGCAACAAUGCACAUGUGCCUUGCAAUCCAAUCAAUCUUGAAAGGAUCUGAACUUCAAAUUUGGAGUUUCAGCUAUCAUUCCAUGGGCUUAUGCGCACCCAUGCAUCAUUCCAUCAUCAUUUUGCCAAUUUUGGAAAGUGGAAGUGAGUGUGCAAAUAUCACAUGAUUUGGCUAUAAAUACAACUCCAUUUGCUCAGAAAUAAGACACAUUGCGCCAACUUUGAAUCUCCAUUGAAAACCCUUCACUCUCAUAGGAUAACCCUGAUAAAUUCAUUUGAAUUUGAGCUUGAAUCUCCAUUGUUUUGUAAUUCAAUUCUCCAGGAGUCCAUUGCUUCUAAACCUUUCCAUCCCUCUCCUGCAAGCAAUUGAAGUGAAGCCAAGCACAAUUCAGAUCAAGAUCCAUCGUGUUCAGACCUCCAUUGAAAGUAAUUUGCAGAAAUUUUAAAGUCUUCGAUUUUCUUAAAUUGUUGCUCAAUUCCAUUGAUUCUUUGGUUGUCUGAAGUCCUACCAAUGUAGGCAAGAAGAUUGAGUUGCUUUGAGGCUAAAUCGAAGCAACUCAGUUCAUGUACCUCAUUUCAAUUCCAUACAUCUCUUAAUAUAUUUGGAAUUGGAGGAAUUGGAGGUUAGAUUUGAGCUCAACGCCAUUUUCUCUUUAAGAUCAUGUCCCUGUUUCUUUUUUUGGUGAUGGUUCAUGAUGACCAGUCCGGUGAAGCUCACCGGAGAAAACAACCGGAGCUAUGGCUCCGGUGAUGAUGUGUCUUGUAUCUGAACCACUUGAUCCAAGUCUCAUGUUCUAAUUUGGAUCGUUCCUUGUGAUUACUCCUUUUGCCACACGGUUGACUCAGGUGUAUGUGGAGCGCGCAUUUUGGAUCAUCAGAUCUGUCACCUCAAUUAAUGAGGGAGAUCUGAUGGUCCACGUAAUUUAGCAUUUUUGAAUUUUAUUUUUAUUCCCUUUUCUUCAAUAAUUCAUAUUAAAUUUAAUAUUGAUCCAAAAAAUAUGGGACUUUCACCAAAAAUCUUCAAAUAUUUUUCUCUUUCAUAUUCUGAAUUAAAAUUAUUUUUUGGAUCUGUAGCGGGAAAUUCAUGAUCAUCAAGCUAUUAAUAAGCUAGAGAUCAAUUAACAAGAGUCGUCACCGCGCUUUUAUUGUUUCCAAGGGAAAAGGGAAAAGUACGAACAAAACCCAAAUAGUAAGAAGUUUUCAAAUAAAAACUAAUAAAAGUCAGAGAUCACAGGUAAGGGGGUUGGUUACACAGAGGGAUUUUCAAAUAAAAACUAAUAAAAGUCAGAGAUCACAGGUAAGGGGGUUGGUUACACAGAGGGAAGGUGUUAACACCCAAAGUGUCCUAGGUACUCCUAGGGAGCCCUUUUUGUGUGCAUAUGUAUUUGGUACAAAGUGAUGUUUACAAACAAAUAGAAUGGGGGAAUGAAGAAAGAAUUCAUUAAUUAUAUUUUUGUGUUUGACAAGACCUUCGGUCUUGUGCCUACGUACCAACAUAUAAAUGAGGGAUCAAAACCUCGUAGUUCGUGCUAUAAAUUGCAAAAUGAGUGUGUCGGUUUUAACCAAAUUUAAGUUUGAAAAGGCACAAAGGCCUAAAAUGACUUGAAUGAGGUAGUUCUUUUUGGAUUUUUGAAAUUUUAAGUCAAGUAUAGUUAAGUUUAUUUACAAGUUUGAUUUAAGAAAAUAAGUUUGAAAAUGCAAUGGCAUAAGGCCAAAGUUUCUACCUUUUGCAAAAGUGGUCAACGUUUAGAAUAAAAAGUAGUUCACACAAAGAAGGUUUUAAAAAUGGAGGGAGAGAUUUUGAAAUUAAAUAAAUGGGGAGAAGAUGAAGAGACUAUCCUAUGUACAAGAAUUUAAAAGUUUAAAGUUGAAAAGAUCUGAUCAAAUGGGAGCAAUCCAAUAGACAAAUAUGUCAAUAGAAACCCAGAAUCCCCUUGGACUUUUUUAGGAUCAAGUAACACACAAGUGCACAAUUAUAUCAAUCUUGAAGAGCAAAGGCAUCAAAUAAAGAUGGCCUCAUCCAAGCUUAUCCACUUCAAAGAUCUUCCUCAAAAUAGCCCAUGCAACAGAUGAAUUCCAUAAUUCACAGGUUCAACAUAACAACUUAUCAAUGAUCAAUGUUGUAGAUGAAUCUGGAGAGAUCUAGAAUGAUGCAUCAGAUGAAUUCAAAUUGUAAUCACUUGGUUCUUCAACAAAUUGGCAUUGACCAAGUCCAUUAGCAAAGGAAUGUUGCCUAAGUUCUAAGUCCAAUUGGGCAAGAUCAAACCAACAGUCCAUUCAAAUGUCUUUUAGGGUUUUUGUUAUUAUUAUGUACAUUAAUGGUCAAAGACCAAACAGACAAGAAAACAAAAUAAUAUCAUAAUAUGGUCCAAGUGGACAAAGUGAAAAUUACAUUAACAUAAACAAUUAGAAUGAUAUGUAUAAUGGCAAAUGAUAAUAGAAUACUAAAAGUAAAUUUCAUUAAAGUAAAGACUUGAAAGUAAAAGUUAAUGGUUAGUAAGUUAAUUGUUAGUUCUGUUUUGCUUUUGAUUUCAAGACAUUCUUUGGAGAACACUAUACCCACUUGCCACAAGCAUGGAUCCUUGAACCAAAACAUCUUCCAAAGGAAGGAAAGAAGGCCAAGUUUCCACACAAUACCAUGGAAGAUGGGAGACUGACAAUCUCACUAACUAGAAUGCUUAUGCCUUUUAUGUCAUAAAUUUAGCGCCAUGUUAAGCAAUUGUAUUUGGACUUAUGUAGAAGUCACAACUAUUUGAGGCCAGGAAAUAAACUUUUGGUGUUAAUGCAUGUUGGAUACAUAGUAUUAAGAACUAUGCUCAUUAAACAUACCACACACAAAAAAUAUGCAAAGAUGUGGCCUAAUCUCAUCCAUACUCAUGUUAAUCUUCCAAUCAACUAGCAUUAGGACUUUGAGAUGUCAUUGGCCAAUUGAAAAUGAAUGGAUGAAGAAGGGGAAUUAGAUGAAGAGAAGAGUGGAUGAAUGAGAUCACAAAUUGGUCAAAGGAGGACUUUUACCAAAUUAAUAUUAUUCAUUCAUUUUGGGAGAUGGAAUGUACAUUACAUCAGUCCCCUAAAUCCAAUAAUAUUAAUUUGACAAAGUCAAAUCAACCUUGACCAGGGCCCAACAACAAAUGAGAAACUCAAUUAAGUCAAUACAAAUGGUCAACACAAUUAAAAUGACAUUUAUUCAAUUAAAAAUAGUAAAAUAAUGCAUUAAAUUUAAAUAUGUUUUGUCCAAAUUCUAAAAUCUCAUCAAAACACAAGAAACUCAAUUAAGUCAAUACAAAUGGUCAACACAAUUAAAAUGACAUUUAUUCAAUUAAAAAUAGUAAAAUAAUGCAUUAAAUUUAAAUAUGUUUUGUCCAAAUUCUAAAAUCUCAUCAAAACACCAAAUAAAUGGCCAUGAGAUUUAUCAUAGGUCAAACAAGGUCAAAGGACCUUGGAGAAAAAAAUUCAUAAUUUUUGGACACUUAGAAAUAUUUUUAAAUAAUUAAAAACAAAUGAAAAAUCCAUUAAUUCAUGAAAAAUAUUAAUAAUGAUCCAAAAAAUGAUUUUAAUUCAGAAUAUGAAAGGGUAAAAUAUUUGAUUUUUUUUGGUGGAAGUCCCAUUUUUUUUGGAUUAAUAUUAAAUUUAUUAUGAAUUAUUGAAGAAAAUGGAAUUAAACUAAAAAUCAGAAAAUUCAAAAAUACGUGGACCAUCAGAUCUCCCUCAUUAAUUGAGGUGGCAGAUCUGAUGAUCUAAAAUGCGCGUUCCACCAAUGCCUCGGUCAACAACGUUGUAACAUGAGUAAUCACAAGGAACGGCUAUGAUUAAAACGUGGAGCAUGGAUCACACGGUUCAGACUCAAGACACGUCAUCACCGGAGCCAGAGCUCCGAUUGUCUUCUCCGGUGAGCUUCACCGGACUGGUCAACAUGAACCAUCACCAAAAUACAAAACAGGGACAUAAUUUUAAAGAGAAAACAUCAUUGAGCACGAAUAUCACCUCCAAUUCAUCCAAUUCCAACUAUAUUGAGAGAUAUGUGGAAUUGAAAAUCACUCGGACCUAUCUUGACUUGAAGGUCCACUUCUCGAAUGACAGUCUUGCGCGAGCCAUUGAAGGCUUUGACAAUUACCCCACUAUGCCUCAUGGGAGCUCCUUGGUACGAUAACUUUGACAAAAUGUUGACUUCAGAAGCACAUUAAGUGAUGAACUGGUGUCAACUAGCACAUUUGACAAAGCAUCUUCCUUGCAAUUCAUUGAAAUAUGCAAAGCCAUAUUGUGAUUUCUUCCCUCCUUAGGGAGUUCUUCAUCGCAAAAGCUCAAAUUAUUUCAUGAAGUGAUGUUAGCCACAAUAUGAUAAAAUUGAUCCACAGUAACAUCUUGCUCCAUGUAUGCCUGUUCAAGAACUCUCUGGAGUGCUUCCCUGUGCGCUUCAAAAUUUAAAAGCAGAGACAACACGAAAAUGUUAGAGGGAGUUUGGAGCAAAUGCUCAACCACGUUGAAUUCACUCCUCUUGAUCAGUCGGAGUACCUCAUCAUCAUCACUAAUGGCUUUCAAAUUGUUGGAUUCACCAGACUUAUCUCUUGAACAACCAACAGGAUCUACACUAGGAACCUCCGCCUUCUUGCCAACAAUCAAUUCUUCUUUGUUCUCUGGGACAACUGUGUCAUACCCCAAUUUUGUCCGGGCAUAUUUAAAUUUUCGUAGAAUUAAUUUCAUUUUUAAUUUAGCAUCAUAUGCAUAGCAUGACAUACAUUUGCAUCAUGAAUAAUACCUAAGAUGUCAGUCAAAAUGAAUUUAUUGAAAAUACAGACCAAUCAGUUGAAUCAUUUCUAAGCAUCAUAUGCAUAGCAUGACAUACAUUUGCAUCAUGAAUAAUACCUAAGAUGUCAGUCAAAAUGAAUUUAUUGAAAAUACAGACCAAUCAGUUGAAUCAUUUCUCAAGAACAGGCAGAAUCAACAAUGACUGUUUCGGUUAUAUCUCGACCCGCAUGAGCCUUUUAAUUGGUGCAAAACUAUUUCGGAAUUUGAAGAAAAACUGUAUUUUUUUAAUAAGUAUUUUUUGUCCUGACAAUUUUAGUGUGACCGGUUCAUUUUUUUCGAACAAAUUUGUACUCGAUUUCUAUUUUUAAGGGGUCAAUAUUUUUGGUUAAAUAUUUAAUUAAAAUAAUUAGAAUGUGUUUGAAUUAAAUAUUAGUUAGUCUUUUUAUGAUUUGUUAUUUAAGUAAAUAAUAAUUAUGAAAAAAUAUUUUUGCAUUGGAUUCCCUUAUCACAUAAAAAAAACAAUAGCAAAAAGAAAAAUAAAAAAUAAUAGAAACUCUAAUGUCUCUCUUCCACCUGUCACUCACUAUCUCUCUCCACUCCCAACAAACUCUACAUGCGUCUCACACUCACCUCCUCACGAAAAUCUCUGAAAAUCCCUCAUAUACCUCGCUCCCUCACACCAACAGAGGAACACACACACUCAGAAAAACUGAUUCUCUCCCUCACAAAUCACUCUGCAAAAAUCUCACGAAACGCUCACACUUAUCCCAUCUUCUCCGCCUCCAUCACAAAACCCUCCAUCUUCCUUCCACUUGCACCAACAAAACCCUCCGCCUCACCAUCGGUCCUCCGCUCAAACUCCGACAACCUCACAAACCCGCCGUCACCCAUCAACAACCGUCCAACCUCAACCUUUCGUCCCCUUCAUCUAACCGUCGCCGACCGCCGUCACCCAUCAACAACCGUCCAACCUCAACCUUUCGUCCCCUUCAUCUAACCGUCGCCGUUCACCCCAUAAACAACUCUCACCAUAAACCCUCAAACCACCAUCUACCACACCAACAAACGCAAUCCAUCUUCGACCUCCUCAAACCCUCCACUGCUUAAAAUCGGACCACCAUUAAAACCCUCAUCUCACCAUCGAAAUCGCCCUUCCGUCACCACCAUCCGAAAACCUAUCACCCUCGCGUCUCACCGCUACCCAAUAAACCCACUUUUCUUAAACAACCAACACCGCCACCAUCAAAAUCCCUUCGUCAUGACGUUUCCAACAAAACGUCCAACCCUUCAAAACCCAAACGAUACUUACAACGGAUUGACAUUACAAGGAUGAUUUAUCCAGCAACGAUUACACUCGUGGCCUCGGUUUUGGUUGCAAGUUAUAUAUCCACUUCUGGACUUUGUAAAUAGAGAGGAGUUUCGACUUUCACAGUUGUUCCCCUUUCGUUGGCUCGUGAAAGUGGUUUUAGGAGGUAACGUUUGGUCAUUUGGAUGCGGUUCUGGCUCGGAUUCUCAGGCACACUCGCGCACUACUCACCUAGCCAUUCGCCGAAGUCCUCAACGGUAUAAUGCAAGACAUCAUCUCGCAAUAUAAUCCAACAGCUAUCAGUAAUUAAGUUCAUUGGCAUUUUGCCCCUUUUGAUUUUGGUUGGGUUUCUUUCUAUUUUUUCAACUGUGUUUAAUUAUCAUUUGACAUGGUGAUUGUCGCUUCCAGUUUGUUUUUGGGUGCAUUAGUAUUUUUUAUGUUGACUAUUUUGAAAGAGUAUGUGUUUUAUUUUCUGUCAUAAAUUGUUAGCUAGCAUAUCGUGUUAGAGUUAUGUGAUUUUUUUUUGAACUUCCGGAUUAGAUUUCCGUGUCCGUUUAAUUGCUUCUAUUAUAUCUCAUAUGAGCAUUAUGUUGGACUUAUUAUGCGGAAACUUGUUUGGUAUAUAGAGCUUAUCGGAUAAUUAGGAUUGUUUAGAGUUUUAAGGUACUAUAACGAUUCAUGUUCUGUUAGAGAUUCAUCAUAAGCUGCUAGGAGUUUCAUUCAAAUAGUUUGAACUAAACAUGUCUUUGAAGAAUUCAGAAUAUUUGGUUAUUACGUAUGAAGUUACCACUGAUUUUUAGCAUAAUGGGAUGUAAAUGAGGUGUGUGUUCGGCCCCAGCUCAUUGUUGAUUUAGAUUUCUAUUACCUCUUUAGUACUUUUUCUGUUAAUUCUAUUAUGUAUGAUGUAAAUAUUACUCGAUUUAUUGCAGUAUUACGUUUAAUCAGAUUUAUUUCACCGGAUUCGACUUUCAUGUCGUUAUGCCACACAUGUUCAUAAAGUAAUUAAUAUUUCACCGUUGUUUUCUUUUCACAUACGACGUUUCGAUGUUCGAUAGUGUUAAACGGUUGCCGAGGACAAUCUCCUAACAUUACCGAUUAAAUUCAAUUCAUUAUCUUUUUUCUUUCUUUGGAUGUAAUUAAUUUGAUCAAAACUUUUUGUUAGUUUAAUUGCGAUUAAUCAUUUUAAUUAACUUAAUUAUUUAAUUUAAUUAGAAUAUUUUAAUUAUUUUUAAUUUAUUCAAUUAACAAAUUUAACAGUUUUCAAUAAAUUAAUUUUGCUAAAAAAGAAAUGGAUCAAUUUUUCCACUCUCACAAACUCCACAUUAUUUCAAACAAAAGUAUUAUUUCAUUGUCAUAUCACUUUUAUAAAUCAUUUUCAAAUUUUAUGUAAUACUAAUCAUCACACACAACCAAUUUCAAAAGCCAACAACAAUUUCGGUCGUCACAUCGAGCCCACUUUAAAUACCCUUGUAAGUCAAUUCUCUUUCGCAUCGCCAUCAACCUUACUAUAGCUUACUUCUAUUGCGGCUUCCUACAAUGAACAUAGCUUGGUUAUUGGUAAUUCGCGUAGGGAUGAAUAAUCACUAAGUGAACUCAUUUCCUGAUAAGCACAAUUCAAGAUCAUUUUUCGAACGCAUUCAAUUUCAAAGGAGUUUCUCUUAACAGCAGAACUUGGAGAUGAAAAGGGAGAUAGGAAGCGUCGCUUUCUACUAUUUCUCAAGCCACUUGAAGCAAUUGUGCGGUACGCAAUAGCGUCGCGUUCUGUUUCCGAUUAACUUUUAAUCAUAAUCUCAAAUUUCAAAAUUCAUUUCAUAUAACACAAAUAUCACAAUCAUUCUCAAACCAUAUUAACUUUUUAACAAGGAUUUUCAAAUCAUUCUAAAACUUCAACCAUCACUUCAAUCCAUUUUUAAUAAUAACUAGUGCAAUUCUACACCAUUCAAUUCUCAAGUUUUGAUAAUAAAAGGAUAGUGAGGGUACGCCUCAUAUCUGUUCGUAUAUUCGAAUAAUGUGCGUAACUGCCACAUUGCUCGGAUCUUCCGUCAUCUAAUCCAAACCACAACUUCGAAUAAACUCAAAUAAUCUUUUCUAUAUCAAAACAAUUUAUACAAUAAAUAAACUAUCAAAACUUUAUAUAGAGUAAUGGGAGGGUCGCCUCGACCAAUUCUUGAUUUUUGGAAUAAUUGGCGUACGCCCACAUUGGCUCAAGAUAUUUCGAUCAAACCCUACCAUAUUCAAAAAUUCAACUAUUUUACGCAAAUCCACAUAACGCAUCUAACAUAUCUUUAACAAUGUUAAACCUGGUUGAAUAAAGGAUGGAAGGGCGUUACGCCUCACCAAUCUCGUUCCAUUAUUUGAAUAAUUGCGUACGCUUAUUGAGCGAUCCACACUAAAUAUUCACGGACUAAGUAAGACAUAAUGAUUAAAGAUAGGUGUGCGCACGCCUCAUUCUUCUCUCUGAAUAAGCAUAGUAGGAGGGCGCUAACGCCUCACUCACCGAUGCAUAUUCAACAUCCGCGAAACAACUUUCGACAAAUAAUUUGAAUGAAAAAAGGAGUAGAGAGGCGGUCGGCUUUUACUCUUCGAAAGAAUUGGACGAUGGUGUACCCCAUUGCUCAUCUUUCGUUGUUUUUUUCAAAAACAUCUCAGAAAAAUCAAUAACUUCUCGCCCGCGGGAUCGAGACCUAUCAACCCAAACACUAAAAUCAACUCGUCACCCCGCGUGACCAAAACACUUUCAAAAGACACUCACGUCCUUUCUAAUGCGCACAACAAACCCAGUGCUAGAGCUCCACCGAGUAGACAAGCCAGCGUUAAGCCGUUAGAAUACGAACCGAGUCCUACACCAUCGUUAUCAAGAACAACAACACACCAAGAUAUUCGUAGUAAGCCCGAACUCACGACUAUGCGUUCCUGAUGUUCUCUCUAUUGCGACGAAUAGUGUAUGUACGCAGUGUGAGAUUGCUGUAUCUUCGCGAGCACACUAAUAAAAAACCUCCCAUUUCCCCCUCCUGAGGUCUUCAUCCAUAUCUAUCAACAAUUCUUAUCACUCGAAGCAAGCAAAUAACAGUCAAAUGGCAAAAUCAGACUAAGAGGUUCCCAUUGAGUAUAACGGACGUGAGGGGUGCUAAUACCUUCCCCUUGCGUAAUCGACUCCCGAACCCGAAUAUGGUUGCGACGAUCAUCAUUCUUAUUUCUAAAGGUUUUUUUGAUAUUUUCCUAUUCCUUCAUUGGAAUAAAUAAAGUUCGGUGGCGACUCUGUUUCGAACAAACAUUUUUUCCGCGUCCUAUCGCGAGGGAUCGCAUUAUCAUCAUUUUUGAGGUGCGAGAGACUGACGACUCUGCUGGGGACUACCAUUUUUCCGCGUCCUGUCGCGAGGGAUCGCAUUUUUGAGGUGCGACAGACUGGCGACUCUGCUGGGGAAUCACUACUCCAAGCAAGAGAGAGUCUAGCCUAACUUAGUUUGAUUUUUCUAUGACUGUUGGAAGAUAUUCUUUUCUUCCAUGUUUAUUUCUCUGUAUUUUAUUCUGAUUGCUUGUGUUGUAUGUAUUUAUCUUGAUACUUUGAUAUGGGGCUUGAUGUAUGUUGUGAGAUAAGCUCCAUACCCGAGCUUCGAGAAAAAACUUAGAACCCGGAGUUGUGUAGUAUUGAACCGGGGGGUGUACACCUCAUUGGGAUAAUACGAAGACUCCACCUAUAGUAGAUCUGUUUGGAGUUUCCAUCACAAUAUGGCUAGCCCAUCAUUGUGGGGGAGGUUCUAAACACGAUCCACGACUCUAGGGACCUCGCCUUAAACCUAAGUUUUGUUUUCAUGAUUGGUGAUUAUGUAGUAUUGAACCGAAGGGUCUACACCCUUGUCAUACCCUAAAUUUUACCCUGAGUUUUUCACUUGCAUCAGCAUAGCAUAAAUCGAUCCAUUUUGUUGUGCAUUUUUAUCAGUUAAAAAAAACAUUCAUUAGUGUUCUAAUAAAAAGUCAGGAGCUCUGGCAUUUUAUUGGUCUUGAUGACAGUCAUUCAGUUAUCUAUUGAUUGAAGACUUAAUUUCUAAGUCUUGAUGCAUCAUUUAUUUCCAUUACAUCAUGUUUGAGAGGUUCAGAGGGUGACAGUCAAGAGUAUUGUCAUCAUCUGAAUCUUUGUAGGUUUUAAUUGUGAUGGAGAAUCAUUGAGAGGUUCAGAGGGUGACAGUCAAGAGUAUUGUCAUCAUCUGAAUCUUUGUAGGUUUUAAUUGUGAUGGAGAAUCAUAAGUAAAUGGUCCAAGGGUGAUUCAAUUACAUUUGAUUGUCUGUUCACGGUUAUUCAGUCAACAAUUCAGUUCAUUUAUAAGACGUUUGUAUUUUCUACUUGUCAUAACAUGCAUUUUUGUUUCACAUAGUGCUUGAAAUAUAUUUGAAAUAAUUUUUUCGAAUUUACAGACAGAUCGGUCGAAUCAUUUCUCAAAUGUACGUCGAAUUAACGGACGAAAAAUUUCAAAAUUGAGUUUUCAGAUGUCAGUUUUCUUAAUCUACAGUUCACUUAGUUUAACCUAGUGUGCUCAUUUCAAUUUUCCGACUACUUUUUCAGUCGCAUUCUGAUUAACCUGAGGCUUUUAACCGGUCGAUUUUUAUUUCCAAAUUUGAUUGAAACCUGUAUGUUUUCGAAAAGUUUAUUUCACGCUGAUAAUAUUGGUGCAUUCAGUUUAUCUUUUCGGACACUUUUACGUCUGAGUUUUAUUUAUUUUUAUCCAAUUACUUUUAUUUUUUAGUCAAUUUAAUUAGUAGGACUAAUUAGAAUUAAUUAUGUUUUAAGUAUAAAUUUAAUUUUGUUCUAUUAAUCUUGUUUUGAUUUUUAGAAUUUUGGUUUUUUAUGUUAAAAUUUAAUUUUAAAUAUCAAAUUUUUAACAAGGAAAUAAAAAAAAUAUAAUAAAAAAGAAUUGAAGGAAAAAGUGUGGGAAAGUUCCCCCCAUUUUUUGGCUGAUAGCACGUGACCCUUCUCUUUGUCUUGCUGGCGCAAGAAAAAAUUCAUUUCCUCACCAAUUAACUAGUGCCACGUGUCCAUGAUGACAAAAUAGAAAAAAUGAUUUUUGCUAUAAAGACUAGCCAAACGCGUCACACAAGGGAGACCACACACUUCCUCUCUUAUCUCCACCUAAAACUUCAAACUUCAAACCGCCACUAAAUCUCUGCCUUGUAACUUCUCCACCAUCCAACACCCUUCUCUGUCGUCCAUCAUACUCCCUUCGAUCCGACCUUCACCUUCGGAAAAAAAAAACUCAACUUUUCCCUUCUCCGAUCUACGACACCGCCAACCAUCAUAAACACAUCACAUACAACCUUUCCACCCUUUGAUCCAUUUUCCAAUCGCGUUUUUGAUCCAAUACCACCCUUCACUCACCGGUAACCACCGCGACAUAUCAUCCUUUGCUCUUCUCAAGAUACUCGAACGCGGCUUUAACGAUUUGGAGAAAUCAGGAGCAUUCCAUAUUCCACUUUCGGUGGUCUGAGAAUAACAUUUAUGCACAACAUCAAGUUUUCCGGAUACCCGUGAAUAAGAAAUUCCACAAUAAAAUAAUUCUGCACAGCAACAACUUUCGGUUUUGGGUCGCGUCUUUUCUUCUUACUCGAUUUCAAUGUUGUUGGAUUGUGAUUAAUUUGUUUUUGUAUCUUGAUUCUUUUUCUUUACUAUUUGUUCUGUUUAUAGCAUUUCGUCCUAUUCGUUUAGUGUUUGGUAUGCUUGGCUUUUAUGGUUCUGUUAUGGAUAAGUUGGAUUUCAUGAUAAUCACUUUUAACAGUUUUAAUCGGGUAUUAUAAUACGUAGUUGCUGCUACUGAUUCUAUUUGGUUGAGAUGUAUUAGGUAAGAUCGGACAUUUAUCCGUGAUUUCGACAUUGAUAAUAUGUUGUUAUGACCACCAAUUUCUAUUUUGAUAUCUAUUUUGAUAUGUCAACUUAAUUUUCUACAGCUUCUUUUGUAUGUUAUGGUAUGAUAUUCUAUUUCGAUGAAUGCUAAAGAAGUUGUUGCUGUCAUGAUUCGAGUUGCUGAAUUGCCGUAGAUGUUUGUUGGAAAUAAUAGGUAAUGAGUUCUUUCUAUUUGUACAGACCCUUUAAACUUGAUGUUGUUAACUUUUACUUAAGUUGUUUCUCGUUGUUCUGGAGCUAGCUUGAGUUGAAGUCUUGUUAACUUUUACUUAAGUGAUUUCUCAUUUGUUCCCAGCAUAACAUGUGCUAGUGAGUUCUUUUUUUUAAUUAUUUAUUUUUUUAAUUUGUGUUAUCAUGCUAUUUUAUCUGAGGUUGUCCAUUUCAUGUUAAAUUAUUUCAAAAUUGAAUUGCAUCUUAUGGUUACAAGUUGUUAAAUAUGUAAGACUUGGUGGAACAUGUUGCUUGGUUGCCUUAACAUCUAGUAUUGCAUAAUUUUCCCCCCAACCAUUUUAUGCUUCAUCAUUAUCGUCACUACCUAUUUCUAUCACCAAGAGGAUACUUGGACAUGUCUCUAAUGACAUUGUCAUUUUUAAAGUUGUUUGCUCUAUUUUCUACUUUGUUUCUAGGUUGGACUUGGAUGGAUGGACUGAUAUUGGAAUUAAUAUCCAAUUUUUAUUUGUUUAAAUUCUAUUUUUUUAAUAUUAUAUACUCACUUUUAUCAAUAAUGGUUAUGUUAUAAAUUUUAGUAAAAGGAAACAAGAGAGUCACGUGGUAAGAGUGGGGGACGACUCCCUUUUAUUGCCAUUUUUUUGUUACUUUUAUUUAUUAUUAUUAUUAUUAUUAUUUAUUUUAUUUAUUCUGUUAAUAAAUGGUUUUAUUAUUAUUAUUAUUAUUUAUUUUAUUUAUUCUGUUCAUUUAAUAUUCACACUCCAUUUUCC